UGGUAGCUUCCUUCCAGUGGACACCCACUU
RNAcentral lists this non-coding RNA (30 nucleotides) under Mus musculus (house mouse). Lineage: Eukaryota; Metazoa; Chordata; Mammalia; Rodentia; Muridae. The record is from RNAcentral.